Molecule: ribosomal RNA, 549 nt
Filed under: uncultured Glomus
Lineage: Eukaryota; Fungi; Glomeromycota; Glomeromycetes; Glomerales; Glomeraceae
Description: SSU rRNA
Rfam family: Eukaryotic small subunit ribosomal RNA
Source: RNAcentral
UUGGAGGGCAAGUCUGGUGCCAGCAGCCGCGGUAAUUCCAGCUCCAAUAGCGUAUAUUAAAGUUGUUGCAGUUAAAAAGCUCGUAGUUGAAUUUCGGGGUUAGUAGGUUGGUCAUGCCUCUGGUAUGUACUGGUCUCACUGAUUCCUCCUUCCUGAUGAACCGUAAUGCCAUUAAUUUGGUGUUGCGAGGAAUUUGGACUGUUACUUUGAAAAAAUUAGAGUGUUUAAAGCAGGCUCACGCUUGAAUACAUUAGCAUGGAAUAAUGAAAUAGGACGUUUGAUUCUAUUUUGUUGGUUUCUAGGAUCGACGUAAUGAUUAAUAGGGAUAGUUGGGGGCAUUAGUAUUCAAUUGUCAGAGGUGAAAUUCUUGGAUUUAUUGAAGACUAACUACUGCGAAAGCAUUUGCCAAGGAUGUUUUCAUUAAUCAAGAACGAAAGUUAGGGGAUCGAAGACGAUCAGAUACCGUCGUAGUCUUAACCAUAAACUAUGCCGACUAGGGAUCGGAUGAUGUUAAUUUUUUAAUGACUCAUUCGGCGCCUUACGGGAAAC